AAUUUUGUUAAUCCAUCGAAUUGUUAACAAAUAUUUUGCAAAAUUCUUAAAUCUUUCAAAAUUUUUAAUUUUAAUUGACUGAAUUUAAUUAAAUCAAAAGAAUCGAAAUUGUUUGUAGUCUCCAUAUAUAAAAGGGGCAAUUGCUUAUAUAUUCCUAAAAAAUUUCCGACUUUCUGAUUUACCCCUCUUAGAAUGUUAAUAUUGAAAAUAUCCUCUUUACGUUCCAACCUAUUUCAAAUAUACUCCUAGUUAAAAUCUGUUAAUGAACUCUAUUAUCUUUAUAAAAUUACUAUUUUGCCCCUUCAAAUAUACCCUUAUAUCAUUACCGACUUUUUUUAUUUGCCCUUAAGUUAGGAGCACAAAAAGUAUUUUGCUUUUUGAUCUUUUUAAAUAUAUUCUUUUACCAUUACUAAUAUUUCUUAUUUAUCCUUAAGUUAAGG
This 440-nucleotide long non-coding RNA is filed under the name Ananas comosus (pineapple). RNAcentral describes it as "long non-coding RNA (ACOM_LNC027897)". The record is from RNAcentral. Lineage: Eukaryota; Viridiplantae; Streptophyta; Magnoliopsida; Poales; Bromeliaceae.